UUGAUGGUGAAGAGAUUCACCCUCUUUCUGUGAAAUUUCCAAAAGGCAGAGUCAUCCCAGGCUCUCACAGUGGAAUUAAUAAUAAGCUCACUUGCCACCUCAGUUUCAAGUCAUCUAAACCUGUGUCAUUUUUUACCAAUCUUCUUUUCUGUGAUGACAGAAAAAACUGCUUCAGAUGGAUCUGUUCCACUUCCUUUGCAAUUUCUUCCUCUCCAAUCUG
This 220-nucleotide long non-coding RNA is filed under the name Homo sapiens (human). RNAcentral describes it as "HSALNT0407242". Lineage: Eukaryota; Metazoa; Chordata; Mammalia; Primates; Hominidae. The record is from RNAcentral.